GACAGAGGUUGCAAACGUUGUUCGGAAUUACUGGGCAUAAAGCGCACGUAGGCGGUCCGUUAAGUCAUGUGUGAAAUCCCCCGGCUCAACCGGGGAAUUGCGCCUGAUACUGGCGGGCUAGAGAUCGAUAGGGGUGAGUGGAACUCCAGGUGGAGCGGUAAAAUGCGUAGAUAUCUGGAGGAACACCGGUGGCGAAAGCGGCUCACUGGAUCGAUACUGACGCUGAGGUGCGAAAGCUAGGGUAGCAAACGGG
This 253-nucleotide ribosomal RNA is filed under the name uncultured bacterium. RNAcentral describes it as "partial 16S ribosomal RNA". It matches the Rfam family "Bacterial small subunit ribosomal RNA", at positions 524 to 776 of the family's 1533-position model. The record is from RNAcentral.